GUCUGGCUUCGUUCGACGCGCGAGCGCGCACAUGGGCCAAAGCCCAACGAAAUCCUCGCUUGGUCCCCGAGGGAACCCAAACCUAUCUCCCCUAUCUCCGUCGCGCCCUGGAUCCUCACCACCACCGCAUCACCGCCGCCGCCGCCGCUCCUGCCAGGAAUGGAGCCGGACGGGGACGCCGCGAUGGCAGGCCACUGUUCCUCUAACAUUCCUUCCUCAUCCAUUCUCCCCUCGCGAUCCCGGUCGUGCCCAUCUCUUCUUCUGCUAAGCACCAUCAUCCAAGGCCACAGGUUGUUCCCCACUUCGUCAUCGUCGCUCUGCCGGAGACGGCUCUGCCCGCGACGGACGGCUCCAGAUAAAAAUAGGAUGAGGAGUAGUGCCGCAUGUCCAAGAGAAAGAUGCCCCACGCCUCCGCCGUCCGCCACUGCCUCGCACAGGACUCCAGGCCAUCCUGCCAAAUCCUUCUUCAAUACACUCAGGUGCGAGGCCACAUGCAUGAUUCGAUCUCGGUCAGCAAUGGCCAUCAACUCGAAUGCGGGCAGCAAUGCUGGAGGUGGAGGACUAAGUGCAGGUCAGAAAUAGAGGACACAUGAAUGGAGUGAGAAUGGAAACAUUUGCAAACUAGCAAUCUAGGUGGAGAAGAGAAGGCUGCGAUGUUGUAAUUGACAAACUUUCUUGGCAAACAACUAUGUCACGGCACUUCAAACUCUUCCGGUGUGGAUGAUGAUGAAGAAGAAGAAGGCCUUCCUUCUCCCGCUUUCGGAUGAAGGACCAUUUUCUUUGCACCUGAGAAUCUGAGAUUACUGCCAUUCAUCUCUCUGAGUUCAUUGACUAAAUGGAUGAAGAGGGAAGUCAGUACAACUGCUUUAAUUGCUCCGUUGAUAGAUGCAAGCCAUAACUAUGAUGCAUGCCUUGGAAAGAAGAUGCAAAAUAAUGGUAGGAGGCCCAGGUAAAACCAGAACUUGCUAUGUUGAAAGAGAUAAAUUCAUGAGGCGAUAAUUGACAAGGCAAGAGCCAUCAACAAGGCAAACAAAACAACAAAAUCCAAGUUCAAAUUUAACCGUAGUGUUCCUUAUUCUGCCAUCCCAAUACGUUUCGUAGUUUCGUCGUCCGUCGUCCUUCGUCCCGCUCGCUCCUUUGUUGGCCACCGCACUCCGCAAAUCAAGCCCACCCGGUACUUCAAGGACCCACCUGAUUGGAUCGAUCCAAGUAGCCACUCCAUCCUUUUUUCCUCCCGCACAUCAGCCCUACUUCGACGAGGACAGGGCACAUCUCGGCCGCACCUCGCCAUGGUUCCCAUCACCCCCAGCUCGACGGGAGAGCCCUAAUGGAGGUUACCAUUGACACGUCCUUUCUUCCACCACCGCAUCCCUCCCUCCCACUUCCCACACCACGCGGUUCAUAUACCCUAGAAACCAGGAGAUCUCGCGGAUCUAGAACCCCAAUGUCGCCCAUGUUCUACACCCCCGUGAUUUCGAGCAGGAGGUGCACACCACGGGGCUCGCGGUGGAGGCGAGGUUCAUGAUUUCGAGGUGCACUCCGGGGAAUCAGAUUUUAGAGUUCGUUGCCCAUGUGGAGGAGUUUCACAACGAUGAGGUCAUCAAAUCAAGCCACCCACCUUCGCGGUUGUGGCCGCUGCUGCAUCGUUCCAAGUUCGGUCUCCUACCUCAUCAGAGCCCCCGAUAAAACGCCCAAGUCAUUCUUGAUUGCAGAGUUGCAGUGAUGUUCAGUGAAAGAUUUUAUGGUUCUUGGCUACCGUUCAUUCUCCUAGAGUUGCAGUGAUGUUCAGUGAAAGAUUUUAUUGUUCUUGGCUACCGUUCAAGCAAUUGUAAAAAUCACACAGGAAUUUUAGAUACCGAUAUGUGGUCUAGGUAGGAAUACAUUGCAGAUCGCAAGGGUGCUAACUGAUUUUUCACUGCCUCGAUUUGAUCCCUUAGUCCAGAUCUGGAUUCCCAUCGUUAAGUAGCAACAUGUUUGUUAUUUCCUUUUGCUAUAUAGUGUUAUAAUCUCAAUUUUCUUGAAUUGUUACGACUGAAAAUGAUAGCUGCAAGGUAUUUCUCUUAGUUUACACUGUGUUUUUACCACUGUUAAUGGAAUCCUGUGAUCCCAGUUAAUUAAAGUCCAAUAGUUGAUAUUUCUCCCAAAACUUUUUUAGGUACUUCUGGUUCUGGGUUCUGAUUGAACGAUACGUUUUUUUUAAUGUACAUCAGUGUUCUUUGCUUCGCUUGACCUCGACCCGUCCUUUGAGUUCAUUGGCGUUGACGUUUCAAAGUGAAAAAUGGAUUGCCGCCUUCCAGCGCGUCGAUGCUAUGCUCCAUACGUCGAUGGCUACGACUAUGACCGCCUCUUCACUUGUCGGUGCCGCUACCGCAUGCUCCGCUUUAUGUCGGCAUUCCAGGAGCAAUUUCUUGAGUUCUUGAUAGGCAGGGAACACCGCCUCCUCCGCUGGGUGAAGAUAAUCUCGAACUUCUCCAUUGUACGCACCAAUAGCCUGUUUAUUUUCCCAUUCCGAAUUUACGCAUAUUCUUAUUUCAUGGUGUUGAGCAAUGCUCUCUGUCUGUCUGACGAAAUUGCAAACUUGAAAAGACUACAAUACUGCUAAAAGGAAUUUCGUCAGGGCCUACAACCUUCUGGUCCAUUGAAUUUGUAAUAUCUAUGGCUGAACUGAACCUAGGAGAUCGCCAACUCCAAGGUGCAACUGAAACAAAAUACCCCGCUCUAGGGUUUGUUAUUUGUGGCCAUAUGAUCGUCCACCGAUAAAUUCAACCAAUAUGCAGUAACACCGGUUGAUGAUGUGGUCGAUGUCCGAGUGGGUUGAUCGCAAGCUGAAUCAUAUGAGAUUAAAUUUUGGUUUGUCAAGGUGCUGUGUUUAUUGCAAGGCAAUCUUGAUUAUUGUGGCCCUUUGCUAUGACCUCCUCUUAACCUUCCGAUGCUGCCGCAUGCUUAGCUCGCUGCCAUUCCAGGGAUUUAUGGUUUUCUCUGCAAGCUAUACUAUAGAGAUUGUGUGUGGUGAAUCUUUCUUUGCUGAGAAGGAGAAGCUGCAAACUGUGGAGGCAAAUAUACUCACCAAACGAGCUGAUCUGUCUAAAUUUGAGGUAGAGCAUCGGGAAGUUUUGCAUCCGCCAAGCUCGCAUACCAGGAGCUCCCGGACUGGAUCUUGACGAAAUGCUGCCAAAGACGUCACCCGCAGACAUGCGAAGACAACGCCCACGGCCUCGCCGUCUGUGACGGUAGCCAUGACUUGCGCCUUUGCUCGCUCUCCCUCUCCGACGGUGACUCGUCUGUGGCCGCCAAACCCGCCUCUGACCCCAACUUCCCCAAAAUCAGUAAGCACAACAGGCCACCUCGGAGCUUGUUCAACACCAAUGUGUUUUCUUCGUCCAUGCCGCGCCGUCGUGUCUGUGUUCUACAUAUUAUCUGCAUGGUAUAUAAUUUUGUCCUCCAAGAUGAGUUAAAGGUUGAUGCACGCCGGCUCUCUUUGCCAUGGUGACGUGUCUAGCAUCCACAUCGACGGCUACGACUAUGACCGCCUCUUCACUUGUCAGUGCCGUUACCUCAUGCUCCGCUUUAUGUCGGCAUUCCAGGAGCAAUUUCUUGAGUUCUUGAUAGGCAGGGAACACCGCCUCCUCCGCUGGGUGAAGAUAAUCUCAAACUUCUCCAUUGCGUUGGUUAAGAAAAAGCCUCAAUGAUCCGCAGAUGCUGAAAUUAGUCAUGUGAAAUAGUACUUUAUGUAUGUGCGUGAUUUUAAAAUACAAACGGUAGAUGCAUCUCUUUUGAGAACUUCACUACAGGCUAUUGGAGUCUCCUGCUGCUUCAUGGAUUAAAUAAAUAGUUAGUUACCAUAUUUCCAUUGCAGCCAUUUUGGCUUACAUGGGGAGGAACACCUCUUACAAGUGUAAGCUAACCUAUGAAUAUAUAUGACAAGAAAUUCACGAUGAUUAUACUCAA
This is a non-coding RNA of Lolium perenne, 3948 nucleotides long. NCBI's taxonomy places the organism in Eukaryota, Viridiplantae, Streptophyta, Magnoliopsida, Poales, Poaceae. The record is from RefSeq and is a predicted model, not a curated record.